RNAcentral lists this ribosomal RNA (402 nucleotides) under uncultured bacterium. Its description in RNAcentral is "bacterial SSU rRNA". It matches the Rfam family "Bacterial small subunit ribosomal RNA", at positions 355 to 774 of the family's 1533-position model. The record is from RNAcentral.
UGGGGAAUAUUGGACAAUGGGCGCAAGCCUGAUCCAGCCAUGCCGCGUGAGUGAUGAAGGCCCUAGGGUUGUAAAGCUCUUUCACCGGUGAAGAUAAUGACGGUACCCGGAGAAGAAGCCCCGGCUAACUUCGUGCCAGCAGCCGCGGUAAUACGAAGGGGGCUAGCGUUGCUCGGAAUUACUGGGCGUAAAGGGAGCGUAGGCGGACAUUUAAGUCAGGGGUGAAAUCCCGGGGCUCAACCUCGGAAUUGCCUUUGAUACUGGGUGUCUUGAGUGUGAGAGAGGUAUGUGGAACUCCGAGUGUAGAGGUGAAAUGCGUAGAUAUGCGGAGGAACACCGAUGGCGAAGGCAAUCCCCUGGACCUGUACUGACGCUCAUGCACGAAAGCGUGGGGAGCAAACA